RNAcentral lists this transfer RNA (65 nucleotides) under Homoneura picta. Its description in RNAcentral is "tRNA-Ile". Lineage: Eukaryota; Metazoa; Arthropoda; Insecta; Diptera; Lauxaniidae. The record is from RNAcentral.
AAUGAGUUGCCUGACUAAAGGGCUAUUUUGAUAGAAUAGAUCAUGUAAUUAAAUUACACUUAUUA